Callorhinchus milii (elephant shark) is the source of this 323-nucleotide long non-coding RNA. RefSeq lists it as uncharacterized. The record is from RefSeq and is a predicted model, not a curated record. The transcript is spliced from 6 exons. Lineage: Eukaryota; Metazoa; Chordata; Chondrichthyes; Chimaeriformes; Callorhinchidae.
ACACCAAAAAAAAAAAUCAGGAGCAAAAAUACCGCAGAUGUGCUGGAAAUCUGCAACGAUCACCGAAGUGGCUGGGAAACACGCAGCAGCAGGACAACACGUCGCGAGUGGAGUGGGACAAAGACACUGAAUGAGGAGAAAGUUUUUUUGGCGUGAGGAAAGACAGGACAACAAGAGGGCCCCUGGUUUGGGGUUAGCUUCUGCUGUGACAGGUUACGGAGGCGAGGACAGAUCAGCGCGACUCGAACCACGGCGGGAACUGAAGAAAAAAUGAUGCGAAGAAGCUUCAAAGCGAGAGAGACAGAAGAGAGCGAAGCGACUGG